Molecule: ribosomal RNA, 433 nt
Filed under: uncultured bacterium
Lineage: Bacteria
Description: partial 16S ribosomal RNA
Rfam family: Bacterial small subunit ribosomal RNA
Source: RNAcentral
AACGAACGCUGGCGGCAUGCCUAACACAUGCAAGUCGAACGAGACCUUCGGGCCUAGGGGCGCACGGGUGCGUAACGAGGGGGAAGCUGCCCUUGGGUUCGGAAUAACUCCCCGAAAGGGGUGCUAAUAACGGAUAAUGUCUUCGGAGCAAAGAUUUAUCGCCUUUGGAUGGGCCCGCGUUAGAUUAGCUAGUUGGUAGGGUAAAAGCCUACCAAGGCGACGAUCCAUAGCUGGUCUGUGAGGAUGAUCAGCCACACUGGGACUGAGACACGGCCCAGACUCCUACGGGAGGCAGCAGUAGGGAAUAUUGGACAAUGGGCGAAAGCCUGAUCCAGCAAUGCCGCGUGAGUGAUGAAGGCCUUAGGGUUGUAAAGCUCUUUUACCCGGGAUGAUAAUGACAGUACCGGGAGAAUAAGCUCCGGCUAACUCCGUG